Molecule: transfer RNA, 73 nt
Filed under: Cordylochernes scorpioides
Lineage: Eukaryota; Metazoa; Arthropoda; Arachnida; Pseudoscorpiones; Chernetidae
Description: tRNA-Gly
Rfam family: tRNA
About the family: Transfer RNA (tRNA) molecules are approximately 80 nucleotides in length.
Source: RNAcentral
GACCAUCGGUGAUUCAGUGGUAGAAUGCUCGCCUGCCACGCGGGCGGCAUGGGUUCGAUUCCCGGCCAAUUCA